This 387-nucleotide ribosomal RNA is filed under the name uncultured bacterium. Its description in RNAcentral is "bacterial SSU rRNA". It matches the Rfam family "Bacterial small subunit ribosomal RNA", at positions 29 to 416 of the family's 1533-position model. The record is from RNAcentral.
AUUGAACGCUGGCGGCAUGCCUUACACAUGCAAGUCGAACGGCAGCGCGGGAGCAAUCCUGGCGGCGAGUGGCGAACGGGUGAGUAAUAUAUCGGAACGUGCCCAGUAGUGGGGGAUAGCCCGGCGAAAGCCGGAUUAAUACCGCAUACGACCUGAGGGUGAAAGCGGGGGAGUCGCAAGACCUCGCGCUAUUGGAGCGGCCGAUAUCAGAUUAGCUAGUUGGUGGGGUAAAGGCCUACCAAGGCAACGAUCUGUAGUUGGUCUGAGAGGACGACCAGCCACACUGGGACUGAGACACGGCCCAGACUCCUACGGGAGGCAGCAGUGGGGAAUUUUGGACAAUGGGCGCAAGCCUGAUCCAGCAAUGCCGCGUGCAGGAUGAAGGCC